AUUCCAGCUCCAAUAGCGUAUAUUAAAGUUGUUGCAGUUAAAAAGCUCGUAGUUGGAUUUGUGGUGUGCCCGGUCGGCCUUUGCUCUUUGAGUGAUUGUGCUGUUACUGGUCUGCCAUGUUUGGGUGGAAUCUGUGUGGCAUUAAGUUGUCGUGCAGGGGAUGCCCAUCUUUUACUGUGAAAAAAUUAGAGUGUUCAAAGCAGGCUUAUGCCUCUGAAUAUAUUAGCAUGGAAUAAUGAUAUAGGACCUUGGUACUAUUUUGUUGGUUUGCGCACUGAGGUAAUGAUUAAGAGGGACAGUUGGGGGUAUUUGUAUUCCAUUGUCAGAGGUGAAAGUUUUGGAUUUUUGGAAGACAAACUACUGCGAAAGCAUUUACCAAGGAUGUUUUCAUCA
Molecule: ribosomal RNA, 393 nt
Filed under: Fragilariopsis sp.
Lineage: Eukaryota; Bacillariophyta; Bacillariophyceae; Bacillariales; Bacillariaceae
Description: partial small subunit ribosomal RNA
Rfam family: Eukaryotic small subunit ribosomal RNA
Source: RNAcentral